This 241-nucleotide unclassified non-coding RNA is filed under the name Hevea brasiliensis (rubber tree). Lineage: Eukaryota; Viridiplantae; Streptophyta; Magnoliopsida; Malpighiales; Euphorbiaceae. The record is from RNAcentral.
GGAAUAUUCAAUUUGAAAAUUGGGAUGUGGACGGUGGACCGUUCUACUAAAUAACAGCCGUUCUACGUAAUUAAUAAGCUCCAAAUAAAACCUGCCUGGGAUAACAACGAAUCAGAAUUCAUAGCCAAAACCACCUCCAACCUCUUCGCACAUCUUACUCCCAUAGAUUCAGCUCUCAGAUUACAGAUUUACGUUUCGGAUUCUUUCCUCUAAGGCUCCGAUCUUCCGCCAGAUCUCCGCC